CCUACUGGAGGCAGCAGUGAGGAAUAUUGGUCAAUGGACGCAAGUCUGAACCAGCCAUGCCGCGUGCAGGAAGACGGCUCUAUGAGUUUUAAACUGCUUUUGUACGAGGGUAAACGCAGCUACGCGUCUCUGUCUGAAAGUAUCGUACUAAUAAGGAUCUGCUCACUCCGUGCCAGCAGCCGCGGUAAUACGGAGGAUUCAAGCGUUCUCCGGAUUUAUUGGGUUUAAAGGGUGCGUAGGCGGUCGGAUAAGUUAGAGGUGAAAUCCCGAGGCUCAACUUCGGAAUUGCCUCUGAUACUGUUCGGCGAGAGAGUAGUUGCGGUAGGCGGAAUGUGGGGGGUAGCGGUGAAAUGCUUAGAGAUCAUACAGAACACCGAUUGCGAAGGCAGCUUACCAAGCUACUUCUGACGUUGAGGCACGAAAGCGUGGGGAGCAAACAGGAUUAGAUACCCGGGUAGUC
This 460-nucleotide ribosomal RNA is filed under the name uncultured bacterium. RNAcentral's name for it is "partial 16S ribosomal RNA". It matches the Rfam family "Bacterial small subunit ribosomal RNA", at positions 338 to 795 of the family's 1533-position model. The record is from RNAcentral.